UCCUGAAAGAGCAUACAGUGGGUGACGUCAUCAGUCUGGGACCCAAUCGGGCUCCUGAAAGAGCAUACAGUGGGUGACGUCAUCAGUCUGGGACCCAAUCGGGCUCCUGAAAGAGCAUACAGUGGGUGACGUCAUCAGUCUGGGACCCAAUCGGGCUCCUGAAAGAGCAUACAGUGGGUGACGUCAUCAGUCUGGGACCCAAUCGGGCUCCUGAAAGAGCAUACAGUGGGUGACGUCAUCAGUCUGGGACCCAAUCGGGCUCCUGAAAGAGCAUACAGUGGGUGACGUCAUCAGUCUGGGACCCAAUCGGGCUCCUGAAAGAGCAUACAGUGGGUGACGUCAUCAGUCUGGGACCCAAUCGGGCUCCUGAAAGAGCAUACAGUGGGUGACGUCAUCAGUCUGGGACCCAAUCGGGCUCCUGAAAGAGCAUACAGUGGGUGACAUCAUCAGUCUGGGACCCAAUCGGGCUCCUGAAAGAGCAUACAGUGGGUGACGUCAUCAGUCUGGACCCAAUCGGGCUCCUGAAAGAGCAUACAGUGGGUGACAUCAUCAGUCUGGACCCAAUCGGGCUCCUGAAAGAGCAUACAGUGGGUGACGUCAUCAGUCUGGGACCCAAUCGGGCUCCUGAAAGAGCAUACAGUGGGUGACGUCAUCAGUCUGGGACCCAUUCCAUUGAAGGGUUUAGGUAAACUGUCUGGGACCUGGUAGAAUCCAUUGAGGGGUUUAGGUAAACUGUCUGGGACCUGGUAGAAUCCAUUGAAGGGUUUAGGUAAACUGUCUGGGACCUGGUAGAAUCCAUUGAGGGGUUUAGGUAAACUGGAACCUGGUAGAAUCCAUUGAAGGGUUUAGGUAAACUGGGACCUGGUAGAAUCCAUUGAAGGGUUUAGGUAAACUGUCUGGGACCUGGUAGAAUCCAUUGAAGGGUUUAGGUAAACUGUCUGGGACCUGGUAGAAUCCAUUGAAGGGUUUAGGUAAACUGUCUGGGACCUGGUAGAAUCCAUUGAAGGGUUUAGGUAAACUGUCUGGGACCUGGUAGAAUCCAUUGAAGGGUUUAGGUAAACUGUCUGGGACCUGGUAGAAUCCAUUGAAGGGUUUAGGUAAACUGUCUGGGACCUGGUAGAAUCCAUUGAAGGGUUUAGGUAAACUGUCUGGGACCUGGUAGAAUCCAUUGAAGGGUUUAGGUAAACUGGGACCUGGUAGAAUCCAUUGAAGGGUUUAGGUAAACUGUCUGGGACCUGGUAGAAUCCAUUGAAGGGUUUAGGUAAACUGUCUGGGACCUGGUAGAAUCCAUUGAAGGGUUUAGGUAAACUGGGACCUGGUAGAAUCCAUUGAAGGGUUUAGGUAAACUGUCUGGGACCUGGUAGAAUCCAUUGAAGGGUUUAGGUAAACUGUCUGGGACCUGGUAGAAUCCAUUGAAGGGUUUAGGUAAACUGUCUGGGACCUGGUAGAAUCCAUUGAAGGGUUUAGGUAAACUGUCUGGGACCUGGUAGAAUCCAUUGAAGGGUUUAGGUAAACUGUCUGGGACCUGGUAGAAUCCAUUGAAGGGUUUAGGUAAACUGUCUGGGACCUGGUAGAAUCCAUUGAAGGGUUUAGGUAAACUGGGACCUGGUAGAAUCCAUUGAAGGGUUUAGGUAAACUGUCUGGGACCUGGUAGAAUCCAUUGAAGGGUUUAGGUAAACUGUCUGGGACCUGGUAGAAUCCAUUGAAGGGUUUAGGUAAACUGGGACCUGGUAGAAUCCAUUGAAGGGUUUAGGUAAACUGUCUGGGACCUGGUAGAAUCCAUUGAAGGGUUUAGGUAAACUGUCUGGGACCUGGUAGAAUCCAUUGAAGGGUUUAGGUAAACUGUCUGGGACCUGGUAGAAUCCAUUGAAGGGUUUAGGUAAACUGGGACCUGGUAGAAUCCAUUGAAGGGUUUAGGUAAACUGUCUGGGACCUGGUAGAAUCCAUUGAAGGGUUUAGGUAAACUGUCUGGGACCUGGUAGAAUCCAUUGAAGGGUUUAGGUAAACUGGGACCUGGUAGAAUCCAUUGAAGGGUUUAGGUAAACUGUCUGGGACCUGGUAGAAUCCACUGAAGGGUUUAGGUAAACUGUCUGGGACCUGGUAGAAUCCAUUGAAGGGUUUAGGUAAACUGUCUGGGACCUGGUAGAAUCCAUUGAAGGGUUUAGGUAAACUGGGACCUGGUAGAAUCCAUUGAAGGGUUUAGGUAAACUGUCUGGGACCUGGUAGAAUCCAUUGAAGGGUUUAGGUAAACUGUCUGGGACCUGGUAGAAUCCAUUGAAGGGUUUAGGUAAACUGUCUGGGACCUGGUAGAAUCCAUUGAAGGGUUUAGGUAAACUGUCUGGGACCUGGUAGAAUCCACUGAAGGGUUUAGGUAAACUGUCUGGGACCUGGUAGAAUCCAUUGAAGGGUUUAGGUAAACUGUCUGGGACCUGGUAGAAUCCAUUGAAGGGUUUAGGUAAACUGGGACCUGGUAGAAUCCAUUGAAGGGUUUAGGUAAACUGUCUGGGACCUGGUAGAAUCCAUUGAAGGGUUUAGGUAAACUGUCUGGGACCUGGUAGAAUCCAUUGAAGGGUUUAGGUAAACUGGGACCUGGUAGAAUCCAUUGAAGGGUUUAGGUAAACUGUCUGGGACCUGGUAGAAUCCAUUGUAGGGUUUAGGUAAACUGUCUGGGACCUGGUAGAAUCCAUUGAAGGGUUUAGGUAAACUGUCUGGGACCUGGUAGAAUCCAUUGAAGGGUUUAGGUAAACUGUCUGGGACCUGGUAGAAUCCAUUGAAGGGUUUAGGUAAACUGUCUGGGACCUGGUAGAAUCCAUUGAAGGGUUUAGGUAAACUGUCUGGGACCUGGUAGAAUCCAUUGAAGGGUUUAGGUAAACUGUCUGGGACCUGGUAGAAUCCAUUGAAGGGUUUAGGUAAACUGUCUGGGACCUGGUAGAAUCCAUUGAAGGGUUUAGGUAAACUGUCUGGGACCUGGUAGAAUCCAUUGAAGGGUUUAGGUAAACUGGGACCUGGUAGAAUCCAUUGGAGGGUUUAGGUAAACUGUCUUGGAGAUAUGAGUAUUUGUACGAAAUGGUGUACAUUAAUGUCCUAAGACAUUGAGUAUAUUGAGUUUCUUAAACAAAGGUGCAGAUGGAGCCAGGUAAUUAGAGAGGAGGUGGGUUGUCUUGUAAAUGUAUUUUGAGUUGGUUUCAUUAAUUAGUGAAUGAAAAUGAUUGUGUAAUAAAAUCAAAUUGGUGUCAUCAGCAAAGAGAAGGGGAAGUACGGUAGAAUACCCAGCAGUCAGGUUAUUGAUAUAGUUCAGGGGCAGAACGACAGAUUUGUACCAUGUCAGCUCGGGGGUUUGAACUUGCAACCUUCCGGUUACUAGUCCAACGCUCUAACCACUAGGCUACCUUGUCGCCCCUAUAGAUUAGUAUGGUAGAAGACCCAGCAGGUAAUUGAUAUAGAUAAGUAUGGUAGAAGACCCAGCAGUCAGGUUAUUGAUAUAGAUUAGUAUGAUAUGGUAGAAGACCUAGCAGGUUAUUGAUAUAGAUUAGUAUGGUAGAAGACCCAGCAGGUUAUUGAUAUAGAUAAGUAUGGUAGAAGACCCAGCAGGUUAUUGAUAUAGAUAAGUAUGGUAGAAGACCCAGCAGUAAGGUUAUUGAUAUAGAUUAGUAUGGUAGAAGACCCAGCAAGUUAUUGAUAUAGAUUAGUAUGGUACGGUAGAAGACCCAGCAGUAAGGUUAUUGAUAUAGAUUAGUAUGGUACUAGACCCAGCAGUCAGGUUAUUGAUAUAGAUGAGGAAUAACAAGGUCUAAUUAUCCAACCCUGUGGUACGCCUGGACAUCUUGGCCCUAGUAGAUGCACAGCCAUUUGUGUUCUAGUUCCUGCCAAUAUCAAACUCCACACAGCCAUUGAGGAGGAAUGGGACAUUCCCAAUCACCAGCCUGAUCAGCUCUAUGCAUCACGCUGCACAAGGUAAAUGGUGGUCACACCAGAACCUGACUGGUUUUCUGAUCCAUGCCCCUACCUUUUUUUAAGCUGUCUGCAUUCUCAGGCACGUGGAAUCCAUAGUAUAGGGCCUAAUGAAUGUAUUUCAAUUGACUGAUUGAUUUCCUUAUGUGAACUGUAUCUCAGUAAAGUCUUUGAAAUUGUU
This is a long non-coding RNA of Oncorhynchus keta (chum salmon), 4132 nucleotides long. RefSeq lists it as uncharacterized. The transcript is spliced from 5 exons. Lineage: Eukaryota; Metazoa; Chordata; Actinopteri; Salmoniformes; Salmonidae. The record is from RefSeq and is a predicted model, not a curated record.